Molecule: ribosomal RNA, 460 nt
Filed under: uncultured bacterium
Lineage: Bacteria
Description: partial 16S ribosomal RNA
Rfam family: Bacterial small subunit ribosomal RNA
Source: RNAcentral
CCUACGGGAGGCAGCAGUGAGGAAUAUUGGUCAAUGGACGAGAGUCUGAACCAGCCAAGUAGCGUGAAGGAUGACUGCCCUAUGGGUUGUAAACUUCUUUUAUAUGGGAAUAAAACAGGGUAUGCAUACCAUCUUGUAUGUACCAUAUGAAUAAGGAUCGGCUAACUCCGUGCCAGCAGCCGCGGUAAUACGGAGGAUCCGAGCGUUAUCCGGAUUUUUUGGGUUUAAAGGGAGCGUAGGUGGAUUGUUAAGUCAGUUGUGAAAGUUUGCGGCUCAACCGUAAAAUUGCAGUUGAAACUGGCAGUCUUGAGUACAGUAGAGGUGAGCGGAAUUCGUGGUGUAGCGGUGAAAUGCUUAGAUAUCACGAAGAACUCCGAUUGCGAAGGCAGCUCACUGGACUGCAACUGACACUGAUGCUCGAAAGUGUGGGUAUCAAACAGGAUUAGAUACCCGAGUAGUC